This 257-nucleotide unclassified non-coding RNA is filed under the name Glomus sp. RNAcentral describes it as "partial contains 5.8S ribosomal RNA and internal transcribed spacer 2". The stretch from base 1 to 65 matches the Rfam family "5.8S ribosomal RNA", at positions 84 to 154 of the family's 154-position model. Lineage: Eukaryota; Fungi; Glomeromycota; Glomeromycetes; Glomerales; Glomeraceae. The record is from RNAcentral.
GUGAAUCAUCGAAUUUUUGAACGCAAAUUGCACUCUCUGCUGAGAGUAUGCCUGUUUUAGGGUCAGCCUAAAAAAAAUCGACAUAGUUGCUGUUACGGGGUAACUUUCGUCGGGAAUUGGGUCAUCUUAAACCUUUUUGUUUAAGCGGCUUAAAAUUUUCUUUACGAUUCCAAGUACGUUUCUAAGAUUUUAUUUUCUUAUACGUUUAAGGUAGCGAUCUUUAUUAGUCGUGGCCGUUGCAUCGGAUGUCGUUCAUA